Molecule: ribosomal RNA, 532 nt
Filed under: uncultured bacterium
Lineage: Bacteria
Description: bacterial SSU rRNA
Rfam family: Bacterial small subunit ribosomal RNA
Source: RNAcentral
GAACGCUGGCGGCAUGCCUAAGACAUAGCAAGUCGAACGAAGUGACCCUUGAAGUAGAGUGCUUGCACAAAGCGGAUUAGGAUUUCACGUUAGUGGCGCAAGGGUGAGUAACACGUGGGUAAUCUGCCUUUAAGACUGGGAUAACAAUUGGGAACGAUUGCUAAUACCGGAUGAAAUGCAUGACAUAAAGUUAUGUAGUAAAAGAAGCCUUUAAAGCUUUACUUAAAGAUGAGCCUGCGGCGCAUUAGCUAGUUGGUGGGGUAAUGGCCUACCAAGGCAACGAUGCGUAGCCGAACUGAGAGGUUGAUCGGCCACGUUGGGACUGAGACACGGCCCAAACUCCUACGGGAGACAGCAGUUAGGAAUAUUCGUCAAUGGGGGAAACCCUGAACGAGCAAUGCCGCGUGAAUGAAUGACGGUCCUCUGGAUUGUAAAAUUCUGUUGUUGGGGAAGAACUGUUAAUAUAGGAAAUGAUAUUAACUUGACCGGUACCCUUCAAGAAAGCUCCGGCUAACUACGUGCCAGCAGCGGC